GAUGAAGAACGCAGCGAAAUGCGAUAAGUAAUGUGAAUUGCAGAAUUCAGUGAAUCAUCGAAUCUUUGAACGCACAUUGCGCCCGCCAGUAUUCUGGCGGGCAUGCCUGUUCGAGCGUCAUUUCAACCAUCAAGCCCCCCCGGCUUGUGUUGGGGACCUGCGGCUGCCGCAGGCCCUGAAAAGCAGUGGCGGGCUCGCUGUCACACCGAGCGUAGUAGAUCUCAUCUCGAUCAGGGCGUGCUGCGGGUUCCGGCCGUUAAACCACCUUCAUAACCCAAGGUUGACCUCGGAUCAGGUAGGAAGACCCGCUGAACUUAAGCAUAUCAAUAAGCGGAGGA
RNAcentral lists this unclassified non-coding RNA (338 nucleotides) under soil metagenome. RNAcentral's name for it is "partial contains 5.8S ribosomal RNA, internal transcribed spacer 2, and large subunit ribosomal RNA". The stretch from base 1 to 120 matches the Rfam family "5.8S ribosomal RNA", at positions 35 to 154 of the family's 154-position model. The record is from RNAcentral.